GUGGUUGUAGCUCAGUCGGUUAGAGCACCAGAUUGUGGUUCUGGGGGUCGUGGGUUCGAACCCCAUCAUCCACC
This 74-nucleotide transfer RNA is filed under the name Bacteroidota bacterium. RNAcentral describes it as "Bacteroidetes bacterium (activated sludge metagenome) tRNA-His". It matches the Rfam family "tRNA". From Rfam's summary of the family: Transfer RNA (tRNA) molecules are approximately 80 nucleotides in length. Their secondary structure includes four short double-helical elements and three loops (D, anti-codon, and T loops). RNAcentral also lists the same sequence under 1 other name. Lineage: Bacteria; Pseudomonadati; Bacteroidota. The record is from RNAcentral.